ACGGGGUGCAGCAGGCGCGAAAACUUCACACUGUGCGAAAGCGCGAUGAGGGAAUCCCAAGUGUUUGCUCGUAAGAGUAAACUGUUUCUUUGUUUAAAACGCAGAGAGAGUAAGGGCUGGGUAAGACGGGUGCCAGCCGCCGCGGUAAUACCUGCAGCUCAAGUGGUGAUCAUUAUUAUUGGGCCUAAAACGUCCGUAGCCGGUUUAGUAAAUGCCUGGGUAAAUCGUGUAGCUUAACUAUACGACUUCCGGGUAGACUGCUAAACUUGAGACCGGGAGAGGCUAGAGGUACUCCUGGGGUAGAGGUGAAAUUCUGUAAUCCUAGGGGGACCACCAGUGGCGAAGGCGUCUAGCUAGAACGGGUCUGACGGUGAGGGACGAAGCCCUGGGGCACAAACCGGAUUAGAUACCCGGGUAGUCCAGGGUGUAAACGCUGCUUGCUUGAUGUUAGUUGGGCUCCGAGCCCAACUAGUGUCGGAGAGAAGUUGUUAAGCAAGCUGCCUGGAAGUACGUCGCAAGGC
RNAcentral lists this ribosomal RNA (521 nucleotides) under uncultured archaeon. RNAcentral's name for it is "bacterial SSU rRNA". It matches the Rfam family "Archaeal small subunit ribosomal RNA", at positions 325 to 849 of the family's 1478-position model. The record is from RNAcentral.